RNAcentral lists this unclassified non-coding RNA (392 nucleotides) under Hevea brasiliensis (rubber tree). Lineage: Eukaryota; Viridiplantae; Streptophyta; Magnoliopsida; Malpighiales; Euphorbiaceae. The record is from RNAcentral.
UGCAAGUGAUGGUCUAUGGAAGGUAAUGUCUAAUCAAGAGGCAGUUGACAUUGUGAGGAAGGUCAAAGAUCCAGAGAAGGCAGCCAAGCAAUUAGCGAUCGAAGCAUUGGUCAGAGAAAGCAAAGAUGAUAUCUCAUGCAUUGUUGUCCGAUUUAAGGGGUAAUUUUGAUCCAUGGGAAUUUAUCGCAGUGUGCAGUAUAUAUAUUUAUUAGAGGGGUAUUUGUUAGAUGAGGCACUUCUAUAGACUGACAGAAUGCAUAAAGUCUCGGACAAUCCUGCAUAAAUUAUUAAAAUGUUUCCAGAAAAGAGAUUAUGCUAUGUUCCUCUCCCCCAACCCUCUGUAAUAUUUAAAUUCUUUACUCGGGCCGUGUGGUUGUUAUGUGUUGAUUUAU